This 126-nucleotide small nucleolar RNA is filed under the name Sorex araneus (European shrew). RNAcentral's name for it is "Small nucleolar RNA SNORA3/SNORA45 family (ENSSARG00000017383.1)". It matches the Rfam family "Small nucleolar RNA SNORA3/SNORA45 family". From Rfam's summary of the family: The members of this family belong to the H/ACA class of snoRNAs which are thought to guide the sites of modification of uridines to pseudouridines. This family includes mouse snoMBI-28 and human homologues ACA3 (SNORA3) and ACA3-2 (SNORA45). Both ACA3 and ACA3-2 share the same host gene. The record is from RNAcentral. Lineage: Eukaryota; Metazoa; Chordata; Mammalia; Eulipotyphla; Soricidae.
AUUAAUACCAUCGUCACAUUGUCACAUCUGGACCCAGAGUGCUACAGUUCUCAAGAGAAUCUGCUGGUCUUGAUUCACUGGCAGGGGCAACUAGUGCCCUGGUUAGUGCCGAGGUCAGAAACAUCC